This 203-nucleotide ribosomal RNA is filed under the name uncultured bacterium. Its description in RNAcentral is "partial 16S ribosomal RNA". It matches the Rfam family "Bacterial small subunit ribosomal RNA", at positions 332 to 526 of the family's 1533-position model. The record is from RNAcentral.
AUUACUCCUACGGGAGGCAGCAGUGGGGAAUAUCGCACAAUGGGCGCAAGCCUGAUGCAGCCAUGCCGCGUGUAUGAAGAAGGCCUUCGGGUUGUAAAGUACUUUCAGCGGGGAGGAAGGGAGUAAAGUUAAUACCUUUGCUCAUUGACGUUACCCGCAGAAGAAGCACCGGCUAACUCCGUGCCAGCAGCCGCGGUAAUAAU